UAANUAGUACAAGUGACUUCCAAUCACUUAGUUCUGGAGCUACCCAGAAGAGA
This 53-nucleotide transfer RNA is filed under the name Marmota monax (woodchuck). RNAcentral's name for it is "partial tRNA-Gly". The record is from RNAcentral. Lineage: Eukaryota; Metazoa; Chordata; Mammalia; Rodentia; Sciuridae.